RNAcentral lists this ribosomal RNA (897 nucleotides) under uncultured archaeon. RNAcentral describes it as "bacterial SSU rRNA". It matches the Rfam family "Archaeal small subunit ribosomal RNA", at positions 21 to 904 of the family's 1478-position model. The record is from RNAcentral.
CCCGACUGCUAUUUGGGUGAGGAUAAGCCAUGCGAGUUGAAUGGGAAACCUAAAAAUCCCAUGGCAAACUGCUCAGUAACACAUGAUCAACUUACCCUAUAGAGGAAAAUAACCUCGGGAAACUGAGGAUAAUGUUCCAUAGUUGAAUCGGCUUGGAAAGGUUUUUCAAUUAAAGGGAUAAGGAAAAUGGUUCUUAUCUGCUAUAGGAUAGGAUCGUGCUCGAUUAUGGUUGUUGGUGAGGUAAAGGCUCACCAAGCCGAUAAUCGAUAGGGGCCGUGAGAGCGGGAGCCCCGAGAUGGGUACUGAGACAACGACCCAGGCCUUACGAGGCGCAGCAGGCGCGAAACCUCCGCAAUACACGAAAGUGUGACGGGGUUACCCAAAGUGUUCUAUUUUAGAACUGUGGUAGGUGAGUAAUGUCCCCUACUAGAAAGGAGAGGGCAAGGCUGGUGCCAGCCGCCGCGGUAAAACCAGCUCUUCAAGUGGUCGGGAUAAUAUUGGGCUUAAAGUGUCCGUAGCCGGUUUAGUAAGUUCCUGGUAAAAUCGGGUAGCUUAACUAUCUAUAUGCUAGGAAUACUGCUAUACUAGAGGGCGGGAGAGGUCUGAGGUACUACAGGGGUAGGGGUGAAAUCUUAUAAUCCUUGUAGGACCACCAGUGGCGAAGGCGUCAGACUGGAACGCGCCUGACGGUGAGGGACGAAAGCCAGGGGAGCGAACCGGAUUAGAUACCCGGGUAGUCCUGGCCGUAAACGAUGCAUACUAGGUGAUGGCACGGCCAUGAGCCGUGUCAGUGCCGUAGGGAAACCGUUAAGUGUGCCGCCUGGGAAGUACGGUCGCAAGGCUAAAACUUAAAGGAAUUGGCGGGGGAGCACCACAAGGGGUGAAGCCUGCGGUUCA